This 309-nucleotide unclassified non-coding RNA is filed under the name Hevea brasiliensis (rubber tree). Lineage: Eukaryota; Viridiplantae; Streptophyta; Magnoliopsida; Malpighiales; Euphorbiaceae. The record is from RNAcentral.
GUGGACUUGCAGCCCUAUCAAGUAAGUGUGUAUUUGUGGGGAUGAUGCCUAUAGAUGAUCUGUUUCUUGAUGUUGUUGAUUCCUUGAAAUCUUUUCUAGCCUGUUACAUCAAUUAAAGUGAGCUUAUCUUUGGAAUGCAUAACCUAUUUGAUCUUCUAGUAAUAUGUUUUCGUGUUGAGGUGCCUUCUUAUGGUACUUUUCUAAUUCUAUGUGGGAUAUUUCAUCUUUUAUUUGAAAUCCUGGUUAACUUGGUUCAAAAAAAAAAGGUAUUGUUGCUUGAGAGUUGGAAAGCAAUGACCAUGGUAACUG